Rosa chinensis is the source of this 1067-nucleotide long non-coding RNA. RefSeq lists it as uncharacterized. Lineage: Eukaryota; Viridiplantae; Streptophyta; Magnoliopsida; Rosales; Rosaceae. The record is from RefSeq and is a predicted model, not a curated record. The transcript has 2 exons.
CCUUUGGCCUCAUUCAUACACUACUAUACAGCUACCGAUCUGUUAGCAGUCAGCUGCUUGCUUAGGUUUAAUUUUGAUCUUGAAGGAGCUAGCCUUUGAUUUUGUUUAUAUCAGAGUAGGGUAGAAUCUGUAAAGCUCAGGAGGGAUAGCGCCAUGAAGAACAAAGGGUCUUAAUUGUAAUUUGUUAUUCAUUGGCGCUAUCCAUCCUGGGUUUCAUCGCUUCUUCUUACUAUCUCAUUCUCAUCGCAGCUGGUGCAGUAUUCUCUCAACUCCUGGAAACCCGAUCUAGCUUCGUUGUCUGCAGUUCAAGCUUCGCCGCUUUUUCAAUAAUGAAGUUUGGAGAGGUCAGUCACUGUGGACGUUGACUAGUUUCCAACCCCCUUCAGCUCACGGUCUCGUCAGUCAUCGCUUUCUUUUCUAAAAUUCUUUUAACUUCCUCAUUAUCAUCUUCAUCAUUCUCUCUCCCUUUAAAAACGUCUAAAUCCUUUUAUUUAAUGCUUGGUCAUUAUUAUAAGGUAGAAUUAACCAUCUCAGUCUCGAAGAUGAUGAUGCCAAUCGAAGUUUAGAGAUGGGAAAUUUAACAGAUUAAUGUAAUGCGUCUCUCUGUUCUAUACGCAAUAUGAGUCAUCUGGUUGGCCAUUACAGAUUUACAAGCAACGGGUACAGCUGGGAUGGAUUGUUUUUGGGUCACGGAGAGAAACUUGAUCUAACUUUAGGGUACAAAGUGUGUCUUGUUAUUUGGGGACAAAGGAACCAACUUACCCGAUAACUUAUUUGAGAUCCCCAACUAUGGCAUAGACAAUGAUGUUGAGAUCUUCAUCUUGGAAGAAGAAGAUAUGUAUAAUGUGCUUCAACAGCAACCCCCACCUAUGUUUGCCUCUUUAUAGUUCCCUUACCUCGGCCUCUAAACUAUGCAUAUGUUUAUUUAACUUCCAUGUGUAUAGGCUGGCUCUAAAAAUUUGCAUUUGUUUUCAUUCAAAGCGAUAUCCAAUUUAAUUGUAAUCCGAUAUACCAUUAGACAGUCAUAUAUAUGCAUACAUUUAAUGAAGUAUACAAAUUCAAUCUAA